UACGGGGGGGGCAAGCGUUGUUCGGAAUUACUGGGCGUAAAGGGUCUGUAGGUGGCCAAUUAAGUCAGACGUGAAAUCCCUCAGCUUAACUGGGGAACUGCGUCUGAGACUGGAUGGCUCGAGUGCAGGAGAGGAAUGCGGAAUUCCAGGUGUAGCGGUGAAACGCGUAGAUAUCUGGAGGAACACCGGUGGCGAAGGCGGCAUUCUGGACUGCAACUGACACUGAAAGACGAAAGCCAGGGGAGCAAACGGG
Molecule: ribosomal RNA, 253 nt
Filed under: uncultured bacterium
Lineage: Bacteria
Description: partial 16S ribosomal RNA
Rfam family: Bacterial small subunit ribosomal RNA
Source: RNAcentral